Molecule: ribosomal RNA, 497 nt
Filed under: uncultured bacterium
Lineage: Bacteria
Description: partial 16S ribosomal RNA
Rfam family: Bacterial small subunit ribosomal RNA
Source: RNAcentral
GAUGAACGCUGGCGGCGUGCCUAAUACAUGCCAGUCGAGCGAACAGACGAGGAGCUUGCUCCUCUGACGUUAGCGGCGGACGGGUGAGUAACACGUGGAUAACCUACCUAUAAGACUGGGAUAACUUCGGGAAACCGGAGCUAAUACCGGAUAAUAUAUUGAACCGCAUGGUUCAAUAGUGAAAGACGGUUUUGCUGUCACUUAUAGAUGGAUCCGCGCCGCAUUAGCUAGUUGGUAAGGUAACGGCUUACCAAGGCAACGAUGCGUAGCCGACCUGAGAGGGUGAUCGGCCACACUGGAACUGAGAAACGGUCCAGACUCCUACGGGAGGCAGCAGUAGGGAAUCUUCCGCAAUGGGCGAAAGCCUGACGGAGCAACGCCGCGUGAGUGAUGAAGGUCUUCGGAUCGUAAAACUCUGCUAUUAGGGAAGAACAAAUGUGUAAGUAACUAUGCACGUCUUGACGGUACCUAAUCAGAAAGCCACGGCUAACUACGUG